RNAcentral lists this ribosomal RNA (465 nucleotides) under uncultured bacterium. RNAcentral describes it as "partial 16S ribosomal RNA". It matches the Rfam family "Bacterial small subunit ribosomal RNA", at positions 28 to 507 of the family's 1533-position model. The record is from RNAcentral.
GACGAACGCUGGCGGCGUGCUUAACACAUGCAAGUCGAACGGAAAGGCCCUGCUUGCCGGGUACUCGAGUGGCGAACGGGUGAGUAACACGUGGGUGAUCUGCCCUGCACUUCGGGGUAAGCCUGGCAAACGGGGUCUAAUACCGGCUAGGAGCCUUUUUUAGUGUGAUGGUUGGAAAGUUUUUUCGGUGUAGGAUGAGCUCGCGGCCUAUCAGCUUGUUGGUGGGGUAAUGGCCUACCAAGGCGGCGACGGGUAGCCGGCCUGAGAGGGUGGACGGCCACAUUGGGACUGAGAGACGGCCCAGACUCCUACGGGUGGCAGCAGUGGGGAAUAUUGCACAAUGGGCGCAAGCCUGAUGCAGCGACGCCGCGUGGGGGAUGACGGCCUUCGGGUUGUAAAAUCCUUUCGCUAGGGACGAAGCUUUUUGUGACGGUACCUAGAUAAGAAGCACCGGCUAACUACGUG